GAUGAACGCUGGCGGCGUGCCUAAUACAUGCAAGUCGAGCGAACGGACGAGAAGCUUGCUUCUCUGAUGUUAGCGGCGGACGGGUGAGUAACACGUGGAUAACCUACCUAUAAGACUGGGAUAACUUCGGGAAACCGUAGCUAAUACCGGAGAAUAUUUUGAACCGCAUGGUUCAAAAGUGAAAGACGGUCUUGCUGUCACUUAUAGAUGGAUCCGCGCUGCAUUAGCUAGUUGGUAAGGUAACGGCUUACCAAGGCAACGAUGCAUAGCCGACCUGAGAGGGUGAUCGGCCACACUGGAACUGAGACACGGUCCAGACUCCUACGGGAGGCAGCAGUAGGGAAUCUUCCGCAAUGGGCGAAAGCCUGACGGAGCAACGCCGCGUGAGUGAUGAAGGUCUUCGGAUCGUAAAACUCUGUUAUUAGGGAAGAACAUAUGUGUAAGUACCUGUGCACAUCUUGACGGUACCUAAUCAGAAAGCCACGGCUAACUACGUG
RNAcentral lists this ribosomal RNA (497 nucleotides) under uncultured bacterium. Its description in RNAcentral is "partial 16S ribosomal RNA". It matches the Rfam family "Bacterial small subunit ribosomal RNA", at positions 28 to 507 of the family's 1533-position model. The record is from RNAcentral.